This 396-nucleotide long non-coding RNA is filed under the name Homo sapiens (human). RNAcentral describes it as "HSALNT0402758". Lineage: Eukaryota; Metazoa; Chordata; Mammalia; Primates; Hominidae. The record is from RNAcentral.
GAGACUGCCAGAAAAGAAACAGAGUCAUGAUAGUUGUACCUCUAUUUCCCUAAGUACUAUCUAAGUAUAUUUCUUCCUAUGGACACCCACUUCCAGAUUCUACUUCUGCAGGGUUCCACAGAAGUCUCCAAUCUUUAAAUCUUCAGUGUAUGAAAGCACAGAUUCCUGAAAGAAUGGCCUCAAAUGACCAGGAGUAGGAGCUCUCUAUAUCCCUGCUCCUGAAAAACAAGCUAACUGGAGUCUCCAUCACCUGCCACCAGCUAUACACACUACCAACUACCCAACUGAACUCCAUGACUGAUUUUCCAGCUAAUCAUGCCCCUGACCCAGCCCACAUGGACAUGGGAAGGACAUCAGUGAACUGUGAAAAGAGGCAGAGACUCACUCCCGUUUGUA